GGGGGGGGGUGGGGGCGGGGGUGGUGGGGGCGGGGCGGGCGAACGGGCGAGGGGCUUGCUCCUCUGACGUUGGCGGCGGACGGGUGAGUAACACGUGGAUAACCUACCGACAAGACUGGGCUAACUUCGGGAAACCGGAGCUAAUACCGGAUAAUAUAUUGAACCGCAUGGUUCAAUAGGGAAAGACGGUUUGGCUGUCACUUAUAGAUGGAUCCGCGCCGCAUUAGCUAGUUGGUAAGGGAACGGCUUCCCAAGGCAACUAUACGUAGCCGACCUGAGAGGGUGAUCGGCAACACUGGAGCUGAGACACGGUCCAGACUCCUACGGGAGGCAGCAGCAGGGAAUCUUCCGCAAUGGGCGAAAGCCUGACGGAGCAACGCCGCGUGAGUGAUGAAGGUCUUCGGAUCGUAAAACUCUGUUAUUAGGGAAGAACAAAUGUGUAAGUAACUAUGCACGUCUUGACGGUACCUAAUCAGAAAGCCACGGCUAACUACGUG
Molecule: ribosomal RNA, 497 nt
Filed under: uncultured bacterium
Lineage: Bacteria
Description: partial 16S ribosomal RNA
Rfam family: Bacterial small subunit ribosomal RNA
Source: RNAcentral